RNAcentral lists this long non-coding RNA (3016 nucleotides) under Olea europaea subsp. europaea. Lineage: Eukaryota; Viridiplantae; Streptophyta; Magnoliopsida; Lamiales; Oleaceae. The record is from RNAcentral.
CCUGCAUGGCCGAAAACACUCCAGUACCAAAGCUUUCAAAUCCUCCCACUGUCGCAGAGGCUGUCGGCUAUCCUCCCAUUGGAACCAAGCCAAAGCUUCUCCUUCAAAACAUACCGCCGUUGCCUCUAUCUUCUCCCCGUUUGCCAGUUGAUUCAUGCUGAAAUAUCUCUCUGCUCUGAAAAUCCAUCCAUCCGGAUUUUCUCCGUCGAAAAUGGGCAUUUCUAGCUUUCGAUUUUGGACAUCUGCUCUUGCCCUUUCCUCCCACUGUUUCCUUCCCUUAUUACUGUGGCCUGUUUCACUGGGCAUAACAGGAGCUUCGUGGUUUGGGGAAGGUUCAGAGGUCGCCUUGAGGGAGACUUUUUCCUUCCUUUCCCGUUCAAGUUCGGCCCACUGUCCCAUCAUCGCGUCAAAUUUUUCCAUUAGAGCCCCAAUUUUCCCCUCAAAGGAAUCCACUCGAUCUGAUAAUGUCAUCCUCCCAAAUAUCGGAUGCUCCGAUACCAAAAUUGAUAGGAACUUGAACUGUUUAAGCUGAUUGGUUUAGAACCGAAAAGAAAUCUGAAAUGGAAAUUAAUGAUUUUAUUGAGAUGAACAUAAGGAAAUACUCCAAACAACUCAGAGCUUUCGAGAGGCUCAGUUCUCUCCUACUAGACUCUUACUAUUUUCCUGCCCUUACCCCCCUUUCCCAUUACAUUUAUUAACAUUUUCUCAGCUAACUCUCUACCCCUCACCCCGUAACGGCCUAACAAAAUAAUAAACUGCAUGCAUGCUGAAUUGAUUCUGUCAUUUUGCUGACUUAGCUGUCACCUUACUCUUUCUUGCGUAUGUAAAUAUCACCGGGGGCCUAUCAGAAUUAUCACUUCUCCCUUGAUCCUAUAUCUCACUUGAUCAGUGAUCUACUGACAAUAUGAAUUCUGUGAUGCAGAAAAAAAGUUAGAUGUUGUGUAAUCUGGCCUUGCAUCUAUUAUCAUGAAAAUCUUAUCUAACUGAAAUCAUCAACCCUUCAAAAUCUUCGGGGGAAAGCAUUUCCUUUAUUGCUUCCUUUUUAUUUCAUUCUGUCUCAACUUCAUAUGAACUAACCUCAUACUAGGUUGAUUGACCCAUGGAUAGAUCAUAGAUUUCCUCUGUUCAUAUAAUUGGUAAGUCUAGAUCAUGUUGGUUAUUAGCUGCUAGAUUUUGUUAAAGAGACUCCUAAGGUGACGCAGUCUUCGCUAUUUGUUUUUGAUGUUGGAACAGUCUUCAUCCGUGUUUACCAUAAUAAGAGAACAAGUAAAAUAUAAUAAAUGUCAUUAAAGGACAUUAGCUAUCCUAGCAGUGAAAAAGAAAGAGAUUGGAUGCGAUAAAGAUUCUGGGCAUGCCACUUCUUUGGAGAAUGAGGUUUAUCUUAGACCGUUCGAGACUUGUUCCUUUAGGGUUGACUACUCAUUACAUAUCCAGGAUUUUCAUGUUUGGAAGAAGUGGGUUGAUGGUGGUAAGCUAACAAGAGGUACUGACCAGAAUUCAUGAAUAUUUAAUGAUGAUAAAAUUUGGACAACUAUUGAGUUCCAUUAGUUGUCAGGUACAUGGCUUGAGUUGGACGUUUGAUUCGGGCAAAUUAUUUUUCAUCUUUCACAAUAAUUAAGCUGUUUCAAGCCAAACUCAAUGGGGUUUACCACUUUUUAUUCUUUCCCUUGAAGAGGGUAAUGAUGCUUGGUUCUUCAUCUAAUAUAUAAAUAGGAACUAUCUUCACAAAAGCUGAAGCAAAAUUAGACAAUUCAUUCUAUAUUUUUACAAUUCUAGGCUAGUAAUGGAAUUUUACUAUCUUGUGAGCAUAAUAUCGAGAAUGGGGGUGGCAGUUUGGUGCAUUUGUUCCUUCAUGUUACUUGUACUAAAAGUAGCGAUUCUCCUAAUCAUUUUUGAUAUCAUAAUUUAAUGACUGAGUUGUGUACAUAAGCUAUGAUACACAAUUUCACACAGAAUUAUAAGAAGAAGCUCAUUUUCUUUUGUCUGUUUUCAUAGACGUCCAAGUAUGGAUUAGAGAUAUAUUGAAAUGUUAAUUCUGAACCAAAUCUUUCUUGCAGUGGCGUACAAGUUGUCGAGAAAGAAAACUGAGGACGCUUUCAAAUUACUGCAUACAGUUCUCUUUGGAAGAAGAGGAAAGGUAUAUCAUUUUUCCUGCUUCCAUAUUACUCUCAACGAGGAUCAGGCAUUGUAUCACUUUAUUCAAUUCAAUGUUUAUUGCGGAUUAAACUCGCAUCAUCUUGGGAAAAUACCUUUGCUUUAUUUUUCUCCCUAAUAUAAUGGGUGUAUUUGAGUCCCGUUUCUAAAAGAAUGAAUUUUGUAAUAGUGAUUUUUUAGAAAAAUGUGUGGCUGAGGGGAAAAAUUUUGGUUUAUAUGUAAAAUUAUUUUAUUAUAAGAAUAUGCGGUUGAAAAUGAGUUUUAAAUAAUAUGGCUCAAACAUAGUCAAUGCAGAGGAAAUAAGUAAAAAUGACUUUUUGACUAACCCUUAUUUUCACAUUGGCUCUUGACCAAUUUUUUUUUUUUUUUAAAUAAAUUGAAAAAAAGUUUUAGAUAAAUAAAUGGACAAACGUCCAUAAUUUCCCUCAUCUUCAAAAAGCAAACAAGGGAGAGAGAGAGAGAGAGGAGGAAAAAAAACGAAAAAAGGAAAAAAAAUAUUCAAAAAUCACACAGUCGACUGUUAAGAUCGGAUCCCGUUGAGCUCCAAAUCACUACCACCAUAGAAAGUUUCUUAGAACAAGGUGAUUUUUCCAUAUCUAAGCUUUGGAUUUUUCAUUUGAAUUAUUUAUUUAUUUGUCGAUUAUAUGUUGUUAUUAUUGAUGUAAAAUCUUCAUUAUUGCUGAUGUAAUGAUUGUUGAGCUCAUUGAAAUAGCAAUUUCUUGCCAUUUCCAACAAGACAGCUGGUGGACACCGAUUGUAAACAGUCGGCUUAGCCGGCUCCUUUUUUUUUUUUUCAUUUUUUGUUUUUAAUUUCUUUUGUUUUUAUUAUAAUUUUUUGAAAUUGUUUUUAACGACUUUUUUU